Molecule: microRNA, 22 nt
Filed under: Echinococcus granulosus
Lineage: Eukaryota; Metazoa; Platyhelminthes; Cestoda; Cyclophyllidea; Taeniidae
Description: egr-miR-10258-3p
Source: miRBase by way of RNAcentral
AUAUUGUUGUAGAAGGCGGAAA